RNAcentral lists this ribosomal RNA (498 nucleotides) under uncultured bacterium. Its description in RNAcentral is "partial 16S ribosomal RNA". It matches the Rfam family "Bacterial small subunit ribosomal RNA", at positions 27 to 507 of the family's 1533-position model. The record is from RNAcentral.
GGAUGAACGCUGGCGGCGUGCCUAAUACAUGCAAGUCGAGCGAACAGAUAAGGAGCUUGCUCCUUUGACGUUAGCGGCGGACGGGUGAGUAACACGUGGGUAACCUACCUAUAAGACUGGAAUAACUCCGGGAAACCGGGGCUAAUGCCGGAUAACAUGUUGAACCGCAUGGUUCUACAGUGAAAGGCGGCUUUGCUGUCACUUAUAGAUGGACCCGCGCCGUAUUAGCUAGUUGGUGAGGUAACGGCUCACCAAGGCAACGAUACGUAGCCGACCUGAGAGGGUGAUCGGCCACACUGGAACUGAGACACGGUCCAGACUCCUACGGGAGGCAGCAGUAGGGAAUCUUCCGCAAUGGGCGAAAGCCUGACGGAGCAACGCCGCGUGAGUGAUGAAGGUCUUCGGAUCGUAAAACUCUGUUAUUAGGGAAGAACAAAUGCGUAAGUAACUGUGCGCGUCUUGACGGUACCUAAUCAGAAAGCCACGGCUAACUACGUG